AGAGUUUGAUCAUGGCUCAGGAUGAACGCUAGCGGCAGGCCUAAUACAUGCAAGUCGAACGGCAGCGGGCUCAGCAAUGAGUGCCGGCGAGUGGCGCACGGGUGCGUAACACGUAUGCAAUCUACCCAUAACUUGGAAAUAGCCCGGAGAAAUCCGGAUUAAUGUCCAAUAAGAAUAUAGAGGGGCAUCCCUUAGUAUUUAAAGAUUUAUUGGUUAUGGAUGAGCAUGCGGUUGAUUAGUUAGUUGGUGAGGUAACGGCUCACCAAGACGAUGAUCAAUAGGGGACCUGAGAGGGUGAUCCCCCACACUGGUACUGAGAUACGGACCAGACUCCUACGGGAGGCAGCAGUAGGGAAUAUUGGGCAAUGGGCGAGAGCCUGACCCAGCCAUGCCGCGUGCAGGAAGAAGGCGUUAUGCGUUGUAAACUGCUUUUGACUGGGAACAAAGAGUCCAUGCGUGGAUAAAUGAGUGUACCAGUAGAAUAAGCACCGGCUAACUCCGUGCCAGCAGCCGCGGUAAUACGGAGGGUGCAAGCGUUGUCCGGAUUUAUUGGGUUUAAAGGGUGCGUAGGCGGUUUUCUAAGUCAGUGGUGAAAGGCAGCAGCUCAACUGUUCGCACUGCCAUUGAUACUGGGAGACUUGAGUACAGACGAGGUAGGCGGAAUUUAUGGUGUAGCGGUGAAAUGCAUAGAUACCAUAAAGAACACCGAUUGCGAAGGCAGCUUACUAGGCUGUAACUGACGCUGAGGCACGAAAGCGUGGGGAUCGAACAGGAUUAGAUACCCCCGUAGUCC
RNAcentral lists this ribosomal RNA (793 nucleotides) under uncultured Sporocytophaga sp. RNAcentral describes it as "bacterial SSU rRNA". It matches the Rfam family "Bacterial small subunit ribosomal RNA", at positions 8 to 796 of the family's 1533-position model. The record is from RNAcentral. Lineage: Bacteria; Pseudomonadati; Bacteroidota; Cytophagia; Cytophagales; Cytophagaceae.